CGGCAACAGCUCAAAUUUGAAAUCUGGCUUUCGGGCCCGAGUUGUAAUUUGUAGAGGAUACUUUUGAUGCGGUGCCUUCCGAGUUCCCUGGAACGGGACGCCAUAGAGGGUGAGAGCCCCGUCUGGUCGGACACCGAGCCUCUGUAAAGCUCCUUCGAC
Molecule: ribosomal RNA, 159 nt
Filed under: Nectria sp. (in: ascomycete fungi)
Lineage: Eukaryota; Fungi; Ascomycota; Sordariomycetes; Hypocreales; Nectriaceae
Description: Nectria sp. (in: Fungi) partial large subunit ribosomal RNA
Rfam family: Eukaryotic large subunit ribosomal RNA
Source: RNAcentral